This 358-nucleotide RNase P RNA is filed under the name Thiohalospira halophila DSM 15071. RNAcentral's name for it is "Bacterial RNase P class A". It matches the Rfam family "Bacterial RNase P class A". From Rfam's summary of the family: Ribonuclease P (RNase P) is a ubiquitous endoribonuclease, found in archaea, bacteria and eukarya as well as chloroplasts and mitochondria. Its best characterised activity is the generation of mature 5'-ends of tRNAs by cleaving the 5'-leader elements of precursor-tRNAs. Cellular RNase Ps are ribonucleoproteins. Lineage: Bacteria; Pseudomonadati; Pseudomonadota; Gammaproteobacteria; Thiohalospirales; Thiohalospiraceae. The record is from Rfam by way of RNAcentral.
GGAGUCGGUCAGGCAGUCGCUGCUUCGCCAUCGGGCGGCGCGGAGGAAAGUCCGGGCUCCACAGGGCAGGGUGCCAGGUAACGCCUGGGCGGCGCGAGCCGACGGAAAGUGCCACAGAAAACAGACCGCCCAAGCGCCCCGCGGGGCGCCGGCAAGGGUGAAAAGGUGCGGUAAGAGCGCACCGCGCCGGCGGCAACGUCGGCGGCACGGCAAACCCCACCCGGAGCAAGGCCGAAUAGGGGGGCAGACGGUGUGGCCCGCAUCCGCCCCCGGGUAGGCUGCUUGAGGCGUGCGGCGACGCACGUCCCAGACGAAUGACUGUCCGCGACAGAACCCGGCUUAACGACCGGCUCCUUCU